CAGCAUCAGUUUUGGCCGGUGGAUAAAGGUUCAGGGAAUGUGGCAUCUUCGGAUGUGUUAUAGCCUUGGGUCACAUACAUCGGCUGGGACUGAGGAACUCAGCGCGCCGCAAGGACGGGUUUCGACCACGUUCGCGCUUAGGAUGCUGGCAUAAUGGCUUUAAUCGA
RNAcentral lists this ribosomal RNA (167 nucleotides) under Mycena sp. RNAcentral describes it as "partial large subunit ribosomal RNA". The record is from RNAcentral. Lineage: Eukaryota; Fungi; Basidiomycota; Agaricomycetes; Agaricales; Mycenaceae.